Molecule: ribosomal RNA, 301 nt
Filed under: uncultured bacterium
Lineage: Bacteria
Description: partial 16S ribosomal RNA
Rfam family: Bacterial small subunit ribosomal RNA
Source: RNAcentral
CAGUAGCCGCGGUAAUACGGAGGGGGCUAGCGUUGUUCGGAAUUACUGGGCGUAAAGCGUGCGUAGGCGGUUUGUUAAGUCUGCUGUGAAAUCCCCGGGCUCAACCUGGGAAUGGCAGUGGAUACUGGCAAGCUAGAGUGUGUCAGAGGAUGGUGGAAUUCCCGGUGUAGCGGUGAAAUGCGUAGAGAUCGGGAGGAACAUCAGUGGCGAAGGCGGCCAUCUGGGACAACACUGACGCUGAGGCACGAAAGCGUGGGGAGCAAACAGGAUUAGAUACCCCAGUAGUCCCUGUCUCUUAUAC